RNAcentral lists this transfer RNA (79 nucleotides) under Paragonimus westermani. RNAcentral's name for it is "tRNA-Asn". It matches the Rfam family "tRNA". From Rfam's summary of the family: Transfer RNA (tRNA) molecules are approximately 80 nucleotides in length. Their secondary structure includes four short double-helical elements and three loops (D, anti-codon, and T loops). Lineage: Eukaryota; Metazoa; Platyhelminthes; Trematoda; Plagiorchiida; Troglotrematidae. The record is from RNAcentral.
GGCUUCGUAGCUCAGCUGGUAGAGCUCUUGCCGCGUUGAGGCAUGCUGUGUGUCGCUGGCUCGAAUCCAGCCGAAGCCC